RNAcentral lists this long non-coding RNA (303 nucleotides) under Coturnix japonica (Japanese quail). RNAcentral describes it as "lncRNA (ENSCJPG00005005644.1)". Lineage: Eukaryota; Metazoa; Chordata; Aves; Galliformes; Phasianidae. The record is from RNAcentral.
UGAUUCUGUGAUGACUCAUUUGCGUUCACCUGGAUGGUGGCUGUUGGACACACACUGUGCUGGUUCCUUGGUACUGUCCUUACACCUCUCAGCGGUUCACAUGCCAUCAGUUCACAACUGAACCAGCUGGAAGAAAAGCUUCAGAGAGAAAGAGGCAAAGGGAAAGAAGUCAACCUUCUUCCGUCUGGAAAAAAUAAACUGUUAGGUGGGUUAAAAAUUGUAUGGACCACCAGGAUCAAAGGGCCCAAGGUCCAUUUGGUUUACAACCUCGCAAGACUGACGGUUUUCCUAGGUCUUGGUUAA